This 356-nucleotide long non-coding RNA is filed under the name Trifolium pratense (red clover). Its description in RNAcentral is "long non-coding RNA (TPRA_LNC013306)". Lineage: Eukaryota; Viridiplantae; Streptophyta; Magnoliopsida; Fabales; Fabaceae. The record is from RNAcentral.
GACUGGUUAAAUUUCAUUUAAGAAUUAACCGGUUUUUUGGUUUUGGAUUUGAAUAUGGUUGUGGAUCUCCAUUAUAACCGAUUAUUUUGUGCACCCCUAGAACACAGAACACAAAAGCCCAAUAUUUCCAAAGUCCUACAUGUUUCAACUUUACUUCUACAAAUCUGAAAUUUCUUGUAUGAAACUUGAGAAUACAAAUACAAAUACAUAUACAUUGCAGGUUAACUCAGUAACACAGAAAGUCUUGGAUGCAAAACCACAAUCUAUGACCACAAUUGUGUGUACAAUUUAUUUGGUCAUAAUUAAGAAACCUAUAGUUUUCUUAUAUACUACUGACUAAGACCUUAGGCUUCCAC